UGGUGGGAGACAGUGUCAGGCGGGCAGUUUGACUGGGGCGGUCGCCUCCUAAAAGGUAACGGAGGCGCUCAAAGGUUCCCUCAGAAUGGUUGGAAAUCAUUCAUAGAGUGUAAAGGCAUAAGGGAGCUUGACUGCGAGACCUACAAGUCGAGCAGGGUCGAAAGACGGACUUAGUGAUCCGGUGGUUCCGCAUGGAAGGGCCAUCGCUCAACGGAUAAAAGCUACCCCGGGGAUAACAGGCUUAUCUCCCCCAAGAGUUCACAUCGACGGGGAGGUUUGGCACCUCGAUGUCGGCUCAUCGCAUCCUGGGGCUGUAGUCGGUCCCAAGGGUUGGGCUGUUCGCCCAUUAAA
This 351-nucleotide ribosomal RNA is filed under the name Staphylococcus epidermidis. RNAcentral's name for it is "partial 23S ribosomal RNA". It matches the Rfam family "Bacterial large subunit ribosomal RNA", at positions 2242 to 2592 of the family's 2925-position model. Lineage: Bacteria; Bacillati; Bacillota; Bacilli; Caryophanales; Staphylococcaceae. The record is from RNAcentral.